UGCAACCCGACUCCAUGAAGCUGGAUUCGCUAGUAAUCGCGCAUCAGCCACGGCGCGGUGAAUACGUUCCCGGGCCUUGUACACACCGCCCGUCAAGCCAUGGAAGCCGGGAGUGCCUGAAGUGCGUGACCGCAAGGAGCGUCCUAAGGCAAUACCGGUGACUGGGGCUAAGUCGUAACAAGGUAAC
This 187-nucleotide ribosomal RNA is filed under the name uncultured bacterium. Its description in RNAcentral is "partial 16S ribosomal RNA". It matches the Rfam family "Bacterial small subunit ribosomal RNA", at positions 1306 to 1500 of the family's 1533-position model. The record is from RNAcentral.